Molecule: long non-coding RNA, 509 nt
Filed under: Micromonas commoda
Lineage: Eukaryota; Viridiplantae; Chlorophyta; Mamiellophyceae; Mamiellales; Mamiellaceae
Description: long non-coding RNA (MCOM_LNC000448)
Source: RNAcentral
GACUUGCUCAGCACGCUCAGCGACUUGACGCACACGAGCAGGAGCAUGAGCCAGUGGAUCCUCUUGACGCUGCCGGGCUGCGUCUGCUUGGCGUUGAAGAGCACCCACGCCCACACCACCGCCGCCGCGGCGAAGGUGAAGAAGGCGAACAUGUACAUCGUGGGCAAGGGUUUCUCCCCCGCGCUCAGGUAGUCCUUGUCGCCGUUCGGCAAGGUGUUGUACAGAUCCACGGUGAUCGUGAACGAAACGGCAGAGUUGGGCACGCACUUGGUGUAGUAGAGAGAGUACUCGCCAGCCUUACCCUCGGCGAUGGUGUAGGAGAACUUGUACUCGUCGCCGUCCUUGGAGAGAUGCGACUGCAUGUCCUCGAAGGUGAAGAGCACGAGGGUGUGAUCGAGGUCGUCGAGGAGGCACCCGCCCUUGGCGAUGUCGUUCUCCAGCGCGGUGUCAGCCUUGGACGCGGUGAUGAAGAAUCCGUAGCGGGUCUUGUCGACCGGGUCAGCGCCCUC